This 193-nucleotide ribosomal RNA is filed under the name uncultured eukaryote. Its description in RNAcentral is "partial 18S ribosomal RNA". It matches the Rfam family "Eukaryotic small subunit ribosomal RNA", at positions 1208 to 1456 of the family's 1831-position model. The record is from RNAcentral.
GGGAAACUUACCAAGGCCAAACAGAGGUGGGAUUGACAGAUUGAGAGCUCUUUCUUGAUUCUUUGGGUGGUGGUGCAUGGCCGUUCUUAGUUGGUGGAGUGAUUUGUCUGGCUUAAUUUGACUCAACACGGGAAAUCUCACCAGGCCCGGCUACUGGAAGGAUUGACAGAUUGAUAUUGAUAUUGAGCAAUAA